CAGAAAUAUCUACUCCAAUAUGGUGUCUUCCCUCUGCUUCAGAAUCCCAGAAGGAUAUUCUCUGGAUGGCAAGAUAACCAGGAUACAGCCUAAAUCAAGAAAUGUCAGAGAAGUGACACCCAUGCAGUGUCUUCAAUAUGGCUGCUUCAAGACUGGGACGAUGAUAACACCAAUAGAAAUGACAUGUAAGAGGAACAGCUCAUCUGGAUGUAACACUAGACAAAGAACUACAGGCAUCUAAGGAAUAUUGAGAGCAAGUUUAUGUGGUGGAUUACAUUUACUGAUUUUCAUAUGUUGAAACAGCCUGAAUCUCUGGGAUGA
Cricetulus griseus (Chinese hamster) is the source of this 321-nucleotide non-coding RNA. The record is from RefSeq and is a predicted model, not a curated record. Lineage: Eukaryota; Metazoa; Chordata; Mammalia; Rodentia; Cricetidae.